UGGGGUGUGGCUCGGUGGUGGAGUGCUUGCUUAGCAGGCUCAAGGCCUGGGUUCCAUCCCCAGCACUGCAA
RNAcentral lists this transfer RNA (71 nucleotides) under Fukomys damarensis (Damara mole-rat). It matches the Rfam family "tRNA". Rfam says of the family: Transfer RNA (tRNA) molecules are approximately 80 nucleotides in length. Their secondary structure includes four short double-helical elements and three loops (D, anti-codon, and T loops). Lineage: Eukaryota; Metazoa; Chordata; Mammalia; Rodentia; Bathyergidae. The record is from Rfam by way of RNAcentral.